This 21-nucleotide non-coding RNA is filed under the name Caenorhabditis elegans. The record is from RNAcentral. Lineage: Eukaryota; Metazoa; Nematoda; Chromadorea; Rhabditida; Rhabditidae.
UGUCGUAUUCACUUCAAUGUA